UAGUAAUCGCAGAUCAGAAUGCUGCGGUGAAUGCGUUCCCGGGUCUUGUACACACCGCCCGUCACACCACGGGAGUUGGAGACGCCCGAAGCCGAUUAUCUAACCUUUUGGAAGAAGUCGUCGAAGGUGGAAUCAAUAACUGGGGUGAAGUCGUAACAAGGUAGCCGUAUCGGAAGGUGCGGCUGGAUCACCUCCUUUCUAAGGA
Molecule: ribosomal RNA, 205 nt
Filed under: Clostridioides difficile
Lineage: Bacteria; Bacillati; Bacillota; Clostridia; Peptostreptococcales; Peptostreptococcaceae
Description: partial 16S ribosomal RNA
Rfam family: Bacterial small subunit ribosomal RNA
Source: RNAcentral